Molecule: long non-coding RNA, 1109 nt
Filed under: Mytilus galloprovincialis (Mediterranean mussel)
Lineage: Eukaryota; Metazoa; Mollusca; Bivalvia; Mytilida; Mytilidae
Source: RNAcentral
CUAAAAAGUUAUUUCAUAUUUUGAUUAGUUUUCAAUUUUAUAAUACAUUUUGUUAUAAGAACGAUAAGUUAUCAUAAGAACAAACAUAAAAAAACAAAUGUCUUUCAACGUUGGUCGAUUGCAUCCGAAUCGACGGACUCGAUGUUAUCCUGUUUUAUGAACGUUUCAAAUUGUUUUUUUAAUAUUGUUGUUGUUUUAUUUAAUUUUUGUUAGGGGUGGGGGAUGAUCACUAUUACUUUAAUGAAGUAAACGUCAAUCAUGAAAAAGUUGAAAGUUAUUUUCCUUUUUUUUUUAAUUCUUGUCAACCGCUAAGUCCGGUAUAUUUCAUUUAUUUAGAGGGGUCAAAAAGAUGGGUAUUAAUUAUAUUUUUCAUCAGGUAUAAAUUGAAUAGUUUUUACGCAAUAUUUAAGCUAAAAGAUAUGGAGAGUCAUAUUUUAUCAUUUUCGUUUUAUAAAUAAUGUGAGAAAUAAAAAUACUGUGGACUUUCAUCUUGUAGUAAAUACUAAACCUUCAGUCAGACUUCAAGAAUAUGAGCUAAUUUUGUAGGGGUUAUAUAGUGCCUAUAUAUAUAUAUAUAUAUAUAUUUGUGUGAUGCUACUAAUUAUAACUUGUCCACGGCGUUUGUAUAAUAUUAGAUCCAUAAACUAUGAAAUUUUGUGUACGUUUCACAUAAUGUUUUGUUAAAUUAUUCAAUGUUUGCUAACUUGUAACUUUAAAAAGUUCAAAUUUAAGCGGAACCUAAACGUGUUUUUGAAAGGAACAUAUUCUUAUUCGAGAGAGUAUAUGUUGCAAUUACCAAGUAAUCUUUUUAAUUUGUAAAAGAUAAAUGCAGAACUGCAGUUUUAUUAGAGAUAUUAUCAAUUUUUAGGAACAUUGCCUGUAACUUAGCAAACCUCUAAAAAUCUUGUAAAUGUUUAUGUAUCAAAACUUAUUGAAAAAUGUAAUAGAGUUACUGAGAGUCACAAUAUUUAAAGUAUUAGGAAAAAGUAUUGUUUUGAAAGCAGCCUUUCAGUUUAUGACACAGCGAAUGAUUAAGUAUAGUAAUACAGGCAGUUAGUGGAAAGCGAACGAGUGUUUCAUUUUUUUUUCAUAAAAUUUUAUGUAUGUUG